GCUCCUGGGCGCGCCGAGCGGUAAGGGGAAUGGCCGCGCGGAGCCUGGGUGGCCUCCCCGGGUGGAGUCUAGCAGGAAACUGAGAGCUGUGUGAGAGUCUGUCGGGAACCUACCUGGUGGAGAUUCAUUUGUGAACAGCCAGGAGUGGACCCUGAGCCGCUCUGUGCCGGAGCUUAAAGUGGGCAUAGUAGGGAACCUGUCGAGUGGCAAGUCGGCCCUGGUGCACCGCUAUCUGACGGGGACCUACGUCCAGGAGGAGUCCCCCGAAG
Non-coding RNA from Oryctolagus cuniculus (rabbit), 269 nucleotides. NCBI's taxonomy places the organism in Eukaryota, Metazoa, Chordata, Mammalia, Lagomorpha, Leporidae. The record is from RefSeq and is a predicted model, not a curated record.